This 241-nucleotide long non-coding RNA is filed under the name Vigna radiata. RNAcentral's name for it is "long non-coding RNA (VRAD_LNC005223)". Lineage: Eukaryota; Viridiplantae; Streptophyta; Magnoliopsida; Fabales; Fabaceae. The record is from RNAcentral.
GGCGCCACCAUGGUGUAUAAGUUGAUGAGAGAUGUCAUCAAUGAUGUUGUUGGGGUGCCAAUUAUCUUCUUCCUUCAUUCUCCAAUGGACAUUUGCAAUUGAAAGUCAUUGAAGCAUUAUUGGAAGCAACUAGAAUUGUAGAUUGUAGGAAUUAUUAUUAACCCAAAAACUUCCAAUUUCAGUCACUUUUUUAAUAUUGUUAUCAACCAAAAUUUUCACAUCAUAAAACAUUAACGUCCCA